Cricetulus griseus (Chinese hamster) is the source of this 111-nucleotide small nuclear RNA. The record is from Ensembl. NCBI's taxonomy places the organism in Eukaryota, Metazoa, Chordata, Mammalia, Rodentia, Cricetidae.
GUGCUCAUAUACUUCAGCAGCACAUACACUAAAAUUGGAACGAUACAGAGAAGGUUAGCAUGGCCCCUGCGCAAGGAUGACAUGAAAAUUCGUGAAUCGUUCCAUAUUUUU